Molecule: long non-coding RNA, 555 nt
Organism: Silurus meridionalis
Lineage: Eukaryota; Metazoa; Chordata; Actinopteri; Siluriformes; Siluridae
Exons: 3
Source: RefSeq, a predicted model, not a curated record
GUCAUGUGGCACACAGGGAGGCAAAUUGGUUGAUGGGAGACGGAUUCUUUAGGAACCACAAGUAGCCAUAUGGAAUUGUUGAUCCAGAGUGUGUGAACAGCUACAAAGAAAAGACAAAGAUGGUUCUUUAACAGUAGUUAAAGCUUCCUCAGCAUAGCUUGUUUGGAAACUGGUGUCAAAGUGCAGGGUCGGCCACAAUGCAGCCCCACUGGAGCACGGAGGGUUAAGGGCCUUGCUCAAGAGCCCAAAAGUGGCAGCUUGGUGAUACUGGGGCUGCCUUCGAGUAGAAGCCUACAUUGGAAGUUUAGCCUUUAGAUUGUUUGCAAUUUUUACCCUUCUCAUUAUUUGCCUCCUUGCCAGUUCUAUUUGUUGAUUGUUGCACAAAUACAAAACCCAGAUUUCAUAGUUUACAUCUCUGUGUUUCCUGAGUUUUGUUUGUUCUAAUGCAUACAAUUAUGGAUGUUGUAUCGUCAUGAUCCCUGCCGUGCUAAGUCAUUUUGCCAAUUAUGACAAUGAUUAUGGUAUUUCAAGAAAUAUAAUCAAAGCUGACUUUCA